AUACGGAGGAUGCGAGCGUUAUCCGGAUUUAUUGGGUUUAAAGGGUGCGCAGGCGGGCGAUUAAGUCAGCGGUGAAAGGCUCCGGCUCAACCGGAGCAGUGCCGUUGAUACUGGUUGUCUUGAAUGCGGUAAAGGCCGGCGGAAUUGGGCGUGUAGCGGUGAAAUGUAUAGAUAUGCCACAGAACACCGAUAGCGAAGGCGGCCGGGCGGGCCUGCAGUGACGCUGAGGCACGAAAGCGUGGGGAUCGAACAGGAUUAGAUACCCUGGUAGUCCACGCUGUAAACGAUGGACACUCGUUGUCGGCGACAGACAGUCGGCGGCCAAGCGAAAGUGAUAAGUGUCCCACCUGGGGAGUACGGUCGCAAGGCUGAAACUCAAAUGAAUUGGCGGGG
Molecule: ribosomal RNA, 393 nt
Filed under: uncultured bacterium
Lineage: Bacteria
Description: partial 16S ribosomal RNA
Rfam family: Bacterial small subunit ribosomal RNA
Source: RNAcentral